RNA transcript from Betta splendens (Siamese fighting fish), 1518 nucleotides. It is a transcript of the gene named low affinity immunoglobulin gamma Fc region receptor II-like, with no coding region annotated. NCBI's taxonomy places the organism in Eukaryota, Metazoa, Chordata, Actinopteri, Anabantiformes, Osphronemidae. The record is from RefSeq and is a predicted model, not a curated record. The transcript is spliced from 6 exons.
UGCAGCGUGAAUGAGGUCGUGUAUUUGUGAAUGAGGCAAAGUCUAAAAAGGAAGGAGAGAAGAAUUAAAAGCAGUGCAGCAGAAAAAGGAAAAGACAGCGUGAUUGACCGUUCUGUAGCAGACAGUCAGCCAGCCAUGGUGACGUGACGUUGUUUCCAUCUGGUUCAGAUCAGGGCACGUGUGAGGAGGAGUCAGAGGAAGUGCAGAUGCCAGCGUUCGUCACUCGGUCGUGGGACAGGAUGCAGUUAACACCUUUCUGCCUGAUGCUGACCUGCCUUCGGGUCCACCCGGACCGGGCCCAGUUCUUCCGGUACGACAACGUCACGCUGAGCUGCCAGGACGCGCGGGCGCCCGACUCCAGCGGGUGGACGGUGAGGAGGGAGACGGUGGAGGGGGGGGUGCGGCGCUGCUCGUCCGGCUGGGGCGUCACCUCCUCGGGCUCCACCUGCGUCAUCAGAACCACCUACCCCACGGACAGCGGGCUGUACUGGUGCGAGUCAGAGGACGGGGAGCGGAGCAAUGGCGUCAACAUCACCAUCACGGACCGGGCCGUGAUCCUGGAGAGCCCCGGGCUCCCGGUGCCGGAGGCCUCGGCCGUGAGCCUGCGCUGCAGAGCGGACUCCAACUCCACCGGCCACGUCUUCAGCUUCUACAGGGACGGGCGGCACAUCGGCAGCAGCUCCACGGCGGCGCUGAGCAUCGGCAGCGCCGCCCGCUCCCACCAGGGCCUCUACACCUGCAGCGUGAGAGGAGCGGCGUCGGCCGGCAGCUGGCUCCACGUGGAGGGUGCUAGUGGGGCCACAGACGCGCGGCCUUUAAGCAGAGCCGCCACCGCUUUGCCUCCCAGUGCUGCAGCUCCACUUUCCACCUCAAACGCCACCUCGCCUCCCGCUGCCUCCGCGUGUGUGACGUCUGUGAUCCGGCUCUCAUGUUACCUGGUGGUGGGGCCGCUUUACCUGCUGUCCACCGUCGUCCUGGGCCUCACAUGCAGGAACAGGAAGAAAGGUGCUGGCGCCUCUCUACUGUAGCUCAUCAGUGUAACUUUAGCACCAGCGUUAGUCUUAGAGAAGGUAUGAAGAAAGAGGCUCCAGCUGUUCUCCACUGAUCAGUAAUUAAACGAGGUUCAGCAGAUCAGGGAGCUGUUGACAGAACAGGCAGCACCGUCGUCGUGGAAGUAGUGGUGUGAUGCCACAAACGGAUCAGAACCGGCCGGGAGGCGACUGGACCGACCACCAGAAGAGGAGUCUGUUCAGAGCAGAGUUUGACAGCGAAGCUCAGUCAGUUCAAGGUCAGAGAAGAGUGUCGUCGAUUGUUGACUCCACUGAGACGCCAUUCACUCUAUUCUCUGAAUAUGAAGGGAAUAUUUACAUUUUGACCUUUAUUAGGCUGAUUUGUGUCUUAGUGCUCUCUAUGGGACAUACACACAUCAACUAAUCAGUAAUUAUCAGCCGGGGUCGUCUGUUUUUGACCUGGUACUUUGACUGAAAAUGUUUUAAUAAAAGUGUUUUUGGGCCUAAA